GACGAACGCUGGCGGCGUGCUUAACACAUGCAAGUCGAACGGAAAGGCCCUGCUUUUGCGGGGUGCUCGAGUCGCGAACGGGUGAGUAACACGUGAGUAACCUGCCCUUGACUUUGGGAUAACUUCAGGAAACUGGGGCUAAUACCGGAUAGGAGCUCCUGCUGCAUGGUGGGGGUUGGAAAGUUUCGGCGGCUGGGGAUGGACUCGCGGCUUAUCAGCUUGUUGGUGGGGUAGUGGCUUACCAAGGCUUUGACGGGUCGCCGGCCUGAGAGGGGGACCGGCCACAUUGGGACUGAGAUACAGCCCAGACUCCUACGGGAGGCGGCAGUGGGGAAUAUUGCACACUGGGCGGAAGCCUGAUGCAGCAACGCCGCGUGCGGGAUGACGGCCUUCGGGUUGUAAACCGCUUUCGCCUGUGACGAAGCGUGAGUGACGGUAAUGGGUAAAGAAGCACCGGCUAACUACGUG
RNAcentral lists this ribosomal RNA (468 nucleotides) under uncultured bacterium. RNAcentral's name for it is "partial 16S ribosomal RNA". It matches the Rfam family "Bacterial small subunit ribosomal RNA", at positions 28 to 507 of the family's 1533-position model. The record is from RNAcentral.